UUUAUUUAUUUUGAGAUGGAGUCUCACUCUAUCACCCAGGCUGGAGUGCAGUGGCCUGAUCUCAGCUCACUGCAAGCUCCACCUCCCGGGUUCACGCCAUUCUCCUGCCUCAGCCUCCCGAGUAGCUGGGAUUACAGGUGCCCACCACCUCGCCUGGCUAAUUUUUUUUGUGUAUUUUUAGUAGAGACGAGGUUUCACCGUAUUAGCCAGGAUGGUCUCGAUCUCCUGACCUCGUGAUCCACCCAUCUCAGCCUCCCAAAGUGCUGGCAUUACAGGCUUGAGCCACCGCGCCUGGCCUCUGUAUUUUUUAAAAAGCAAUUAUUUUGAAUUCUUUAAGAGGCAGUUUAUAUAUGUCCAUUUCUUUGGGGUCAACUACUGGGAGGUUAUGUUUUUUAGAUGGUAUUAUGUCUCCCAUUUUUCUUGUUGCUUUACAUUAAUGUCUGUGCACUUAGUGGAACAGUCACCUUUUGUAGACUUUAUGGGCUAGUUUCAUUGUGGACUGACUUUCCUCCAUGGGGUGGGGUGCAGUGGUUCUGGCACCAGUCAGGGUGCCAACUGUGUGGUCUCUGUGCAGCUCUGUCUGCUGAGGUUGGUACAGAUAAAAAUCACAGGGAUCCAUAGCAGUCAAUGUUGUGAGUUUCUGCAGUGGCAGCAAGAGUUGUUGGGUCUUUGGUGGCAAUGACUGCUAAGAUCGCCGCAAUCUAUUUUUUUUUCCCACCAGAGAAGCUAUGGCUGAAGGGAUCCCUCUUGGCACUGGUGCCUGAUGAGUAGCACCCAUGGAAUAAUCACAGAACUCAGGCCUGAUGCACAACUGUGUGGAGGUACUGCAGUUCUGAGUUCCCAGGUAGUAAUGGCAUUGGUGUCUGGGAUGCAGGGAUCCUUGCUGCUGUGUAACAGAAUGCAAGAUGCAGAUGCUUGUUAAACAGCUAAGAGAAUUGAGAAUAAGAGCACUUGUGAGUGCAGCAUUAGAGUAGCUCUAGGAUUGGGGUAAAGUCAAGAUCUUUAUGGCAGCAGAGCUGGUACCCAGAGUGGAGCCACACACAGCAAGAGCUUGGCUCUUGGGCCCAGGGUGCGAACUUUUUACCUGUAUACUUUUGACAAAUGGAUAUCUUAUACAGAACAUUUCCAACUUCCCAGAAAGUUUCCUUGUAUCACUGUCUUGCCAAUCCAUACCCUAUCAGAAGCAAUGAAUUUUUUUCCCUAGCUUUUCCCAGUUAUUCUUUUUGAUUGUUGAAUAGAAUUCCGUUGUAUCAAUGUACCAGUGUUUCCAGCUUGGGACUACUAUAAAUAAGGCUGUUAUGAACAUGCCUAUACAAGUAUUUUUGCAGACAAAUAUUUUCAUUUCUCUUGGAUAAAAAUCUAGAAUUGGGUUUGCUGUGUCAAAGGACUAGUGUACCAGCCUCGGCAACAAAGUGAGACCCCAUCUCUACCAAAAUUUAAAAAUUAGCCAUACAUUGUGUCAUAUGCCUGUAGUCCCAGCUACUGGGGAUGCUGAAGUGGGAGGAUCACUUGAGCCCAGGAGUUUGAGGCUGCAGUGAGCUAUGAAUGUGCCACUGCACUAUAGUCUGAGGGAUAUAGUGAGACCCCAUCUCAAAAAAUACAUAAAAAAUCAAAAUUAAAAUUUAAAAAAUAAAAAAAAAAAACAAAUAAGGAGUAGUAGCUGGAAGCCAACACAUAAUUUUUGCUACUGACAAUGGUCAAGUUUCUGGACAUAGCUUACUGUGAGAGCCAAAUAAUCUUCAUAACUGAGCACUAAAAUUAAAUUCAACAAGCCAGUCAGAGGCAACUGAAUCACCAGAGGCUUCCCUAUAUGAAAGGAAGGAAGGAAGGAACUGAGAUAAACUUGCCCAAUUUUUGCUUCCCAAAUUUACCAGACAAGCCACUCCUCCUCUAGGAGGAAAUGAGAGGUUAGAAACAGACUAGGAGUUAAACUAAUUGAGCUCCUUUAACAUAGUAGGAAACAUCAACAAUGAGAAAGAUAUAUUCCCUCUGUAUUAAUUUCCUAUUGCUGCUAUAAAAAAUGAUCACAAACUUAGUAACUUACAACAAAAUUAAUUUACUGUCUUCCCAUUCUGGAGGUCAGAGUCAUAAAAUAAAGUUGUCAGAGGGCUGCAUUUCUUCUGGAGGC
RNAcentral lists this long non-coding RNA (2128 nucleotides) under Macaca fascicularis (crab-eating macaque). RNAcentral's name for it is "lncRNA (ENSMFAG00000053002.1)". Lineage: Eukaryota; Metazoa; Chordata; Mammalia; Primates; Cercopithecidae. The record is from RNAcentral.